UCCGCUCCAUACCGGCGCCACCGCUGCUCCGUCCCCGACCGCCGUGCUGUCCGCGCGCCGCUGUGCCGUCCCUGGCUGCCACGCCGUCCGCAGGCUGCCGCGGCUCCGAUCUGUCAAGUGCCCCGCCGGAUCGGGUUACAGGACGCCUCCCUCGACCCCGACGCACCACCGCUCGCCGCCGGCCGCCACCGCCGAGGUUAGUCUCCUACUCACCCUCUAGGCCUCAUCUCGCCUUGGUGCACCUGCUGCCGCCGUGGAUGAGCGCGCCGCAGCUUCGGACGUGCUGCAGCAAAUCCCGUCGCUCGCCGCAGAUCGAGCGGACACGCACGCCACGGACACCCCCGAUGAGUGGGGCUCUCGCUGCCCCACCACCGUGCCACAAACCCAAAGACACGAAGUGGAGAUCCGUCCUCCAAGAUGCAGGCGCCUCCGGCCUCCCCCGUGCUCCAUGGCUCUCCGUGCGAGAUCCAUGGCCCGCCGCGCCAACGACCAAGAAUCGUGCUGUCGAUCGACCGUCGAUUGUCCGGACCACUAACUUCCACCUCAAUCGUUGGCUUCUGGCAGAUCCUCGUAGACAUCUAGAAGCAGAUCCUACAGCUACACUGCAUUACUCAACGUUGAAGGAACUGAGCAUCGACAGCCUUAAGUUCAUGGCAUUUGUCCUCGGCUGUCACAUUGCCCACCCACACGCUUAGGAUUUCUGCUCCGCUUCAAGGUUGCCGCUUCUUACUCCUGAUCUCCUGCUAUUCGUGUCAUUGUGAUUAUUUGUUAGAGUGCUUCCCUAUGGCCUAUACAGUUUGGUUUUUGUUUAGCGUUGGACAUGGGAUUGAGGCAAAGAUGUUAUUAGGAUUUUAUUUAGAUAUAAGUAUAGUCUGAAAGCUCAAGAGAAAAUUGCAACUCUAUUCCAUUCAGUAAAUCCUACUAAUUCAGUAGUCCUAAUGGCAGUUUUUAUAUCAUGUAGGUGUCCCUUUCUGUCUAAACCAUAAGAAAUAUCAAUGCAAUGCCAUGAUAUGCAGACAGCAUGUGCAUGCUAUGAAAUAUCAAUUCACUGUGAAGGGGAGGAGCGCAUGUGCAUGGUCAGCCUGUGUGCAGUUGGUCAAUAUAGCAUGACUAAAAUGUGGUUCUGAAAAAACUUGUCAUUAAUCUCCAAAAUGCCCCUCCUAUGGCGGUUCUGAAAAUGUGGCAACUUGUCAUUCUGAAUUUCAUCAGAAAAUUCAGAUGCCUCAAGUUGGUUCUGGAAGCAAUAGACUGAAAGGAUCCAAUCAAUUGGUUCUUGACCAAUAGCACUACUGUGACACACAUACUUUAAUUUACCACGAGCAUGCAAUCUAAUAGUGCAGAUCCUGUUUUAUAAACAAUAAUUUCUUCUAUAGUUAACUGAAUAAAUGAUUCUGAACAAAUGCUUGCUUCAGUAUCCAAGCAAGAUAUAUUAGUCAAACCUAAAGUGGUUUCUGAUCCAUUUCUGGUGAUCCAGUUGAUGGUUGUCAAAACUGUUAUGCCUCUGAAAGUCUGAAGCUUUUAAGGCCUCUGGAUUUUAUUGUGUUAUGUUCAUAACUAUAAUAAUUGUUAGGGCUCUUAGCAUUAAAAUGGACAUCACUAUCCACUAUCCAGUGAAAUGUGUGAUUGAUUCAUGGAAGUGUGAAUCUUUCUGAUGUCGUGUCUGUUGUGCAUCUCCACUAAUUUAUCAUGAAACUCGCUUUUUUGCCGAGUGUAUUUUUUUGACACUCGGCAAACAAGCCCUUUGCCGAGUGUCUUUUGAGAAGCAGUCGGCAAAUAAGAUUUUUGCCGAGUGCCCGAAAGAAAACACUCGGCAAAAGAGUUUAGCACUCGGCAAAGAGCCGGUUUCUGUAGCGAGAGGUUGGUGUGGGAGCAGGAUCUCACACAAUAACCAUGCACCCAAAAGGCUGCAACGGUAGUCAUUCAGUUGGCAAAAAAAAAAAAAAAAUCGUGCGAGGCCAACUUAAUUAAACAGCAGUACACCGACACAGUCAUUCACCGUUCAUGUGUGAAGUUUGAGGAAAGAUGAUUAUUAAUAUCACCAUUUUAUUUUAUCAUUUUUUCUUUCUCUUACUUUUCGUUUUUCUAUUUUCAUUUCUUCCCUAUCUGUUCCCUGUUCUCACGAGCCCCAGAAUGCUCGGCUCGGCAGCGCCUAGAGUUUCUUUCACCGGCGGCGAUCCCGGCAGUCGCGCCAGCGAGGCGGCGCCUCCGCGCCCGACGCGCAACGCCUUGGCAGAAUGACGGCCGUAUGGGCAGCGGAUGCCUCCGUGGUGAUAGCCUGGCCCCGCCCGUCGCUCGCCCUACGACCGUCCACUGGGAUGAGGUAUGAAUGGCGGUUGUCCCCUACAGCUCCUGCUCGUCGGUGGGUACUCAUCCGUCCGCCGGAUCGAGACCCCGCCCCUGACCGUGAAACAAUUGGAGAGCAUCCCUUCGGACCAGCAGAAUCUAAUUUUUGCCGGCAAGCAGUUGGAAUGGAGGAUGGCCGCACCCUUGCCGACUACAAGUUUACAACAUCCAAAAGGUGUCCACCUCAUCUGGUGCUCCAGCUCCGUGGUGGUCAGUAAGCCAUCAGUCGUUGAAGCUGCUGAUGUGCCUGAAUC
This is a long non-coding RNA of Panicum virgatum (switchgrass), 2597 nucleotides long. RefSeq lists it as uncharacterized. The record is from RefSeq and is a predicted model, not a curated record. Lineage: Eukaryota; Viridiplantae; Streptophyta; Magnoliopsida; Poales; Poaceae. The transcript has 2 exons.